RNAcentral lists this ribosomal RNA (497 nucleotides) under uncultured bacterium. Its description in RNAcentral is "partial 16S ribosomal RNA". It matches the Rfam family "Bacterial small subunit ribosomal RNA", at positions 28 to 507 of the family's 1533-position model. The record is from RNAcentral.
GAUGAACGCUGGCGGCGUGCCUAAUACAUGCAAGUCGAGCGAACGGACGAGAAGCUUUCUUCUCUGAUGUUAGCGGCGGACGGGUGAGUAACACGUGGAUAACCUACAUAUAAGACUGGGAUAACUUCGGGAAACCGUAGCUAAUACCGGAUAAUAUUUUGAACCGCAUGGUUCAAAAGUGAUAGACGGUCUUGCUGUCACUUAUAGAUGGAUCCGCGCUGCAUUAGCUAGUUGGUAAGGUAACGGCUUACCAAGGCGACGAUGCAUAGCUGACCUGAGAGGGUGAUCGGCCACACUGGAACUGAGACACGGUCCAGACUCCUACGGGAGGCAGCAGUGGGGAAUCUUCGGCAAUGGGCGAAAGCCUGAUCGAGCAAUGCCGCGUGGGUGAAGAAGGUCUUCGGAUCGUAAAACUCUUUUAUUAGGGAAGAACAUAUGCGUAUGAAUCCCUCCCUGUCUUGACGGUACCUAAACAGAAAGCCACGGCUAACUUCGUG